AUACGUAGGUGGCAAGCGUUGUCCGGAUUUAUUGGGCGUAAAGCGAGCGCAGGCGGAAAAUAAGUCUAAUGUGAAAGCCCUCGGCUUAACCGAGGAACUGCAUCGGAAACUGUUUCUUGAGUGCAGAAGAGGAGAGUGGAACUCCAUGUGUAGCGGUGGAAUGCGUAGAUAUAUGGAAGAACACCAGUGGCGAAGGCGGCUCUCUGGUCUGCAACUGACGCUGAGGCUCGAAAGCAUGGGUAGC
This 244-nucleotide ribosomal RNA is filed under the name uncultured bacterium. Its description in RNAcentral is "partial 16S ribosomal RNA". It matches the Rfam family "Bacterial small subunit ribosomal RNA", at positions 523 to 769 of the family's 1533-position model. The record is from RNAcentral.